GGAGGGAGGGAGGAGGAAGAAAAACAGCCAAAGAAAGGGGAGAGGCAGAGGGGGAGUGGAGAUAUCACGUCUAACAAUUAAGACCUGCCUUCAGGCUGCAAAGAAGAAGCUUUGUUGAAAACAUAUAAAUUGCUCAUUGAGCAGUGGCUCUCUGCAGUCCCUCAGAUACUCAGGAAUCCGUCAUAAAGGACGGCAGCCACCGCCCGCAGCGCCUCGCAUGGCGGGGCUGGAAUCUGUUCACGGUAUUCAGGGGAUCCAUCUCCAGCCAAGCCAACCCCCCCCCCCCAGUAAACACAAACCUGGAUCGAACCCCAGCGACUCCAAUGGAGAUCCUUCGCGGCCUCUGUACCUUGCAGGGUCAAAGAUCCAGAGACGUUUUAUCCUAUUUGUCUUUGUGGUGCAAGAGGAGGAGGAGGCUGCGUGCAUUGACCGCCUGUUCUUAUUUACUUGAAUCCAGUGUUUGUGAAGGAGAACAAGUGAAGGGUUUUCUUUAACAAAUGCGACCUGCAUUCUGAAACACACACGUUAUCCCCACAGCAAAGGCCGACUUGUAGCCCGGGAGGAACGUGGAGAUACCGUGGACAGAUGUACGAACAGACAGACAGGAAUUAGUUUAUUGAAAGAUAUUGAGCAAGCAGAGUAAAUAGUUGAACGCAAAGUAGAGGAUUAGUUUGAAAUACAGAAAUACACAGGUGGUUUCUACAAAAUGAAUGACUUGAUGUUUUAUUUCACCUGCUGGUCGUAACGUUGCAUCAGGCAAAAGAGAUCGAGGAUCAAACCGCGGAUCAGAUUGACCCUGGCGUCCUGAUCUGGCUUAAAUUAGGAUAAUCUCCCCUUUAAUUGAGCCAACAUUUUAAGCGAUACCUUGAUUUAUUAACUAAUUCCUGUUUAGCUGUUCAGUUAAACAGCAUUUCAGUGGGUUUUCAGCCUUUCGUGUUCUGGGUGGAGUGAUUGACGACACAUCUGGGCAAACAUCUCCGCUGCCACUCGGUGUGUCGCGGUAUCAUCGUGCACCGACAACAUGACACACGGAAUUACCAGCUUCAAGUCAGCCAAGGCAAUCUGACACAAAUGACUCAUGUUUAGUUAAUUCAAGGACGCAAUAAUUCAAAGGAGCAAUUUAAGGUGAUACGGUUUUACCCAACUGAGGUGGUCUAAAGCAACCAGGUGCCUUUUCUGUUGAAAAUGAAAUUAAUUAAACAAAACAGCUGCUUUUGAUAGAACCCAGAUGUGAGUUUUUGAAAAUAAAUGUGGUUUUUCGCCGUAGAGUCAUCUUUUAAACUUACUCCCUUUUACAGUAAAUGUGCAUAGCAUAGUACUGGUGAGGCGUAAAGCUAAGCGCUAGCGUCAGUCCACUGACAAGCUAACACUCACAAUGCUAACACGUUUGGAACGUUCCCCCUCUUAUUCGAGCGUGCCGACAUUUGCUAAUGAAACACGGACGACAAAACGCAUUCAGUGGUGAAAUCAGGACGAACACCCCUGAAGGCCUCAGGCGAAACGCGGGAAUCUUUCAAGCCUCUACGAUUCAUCCUGUGGGGAACGCGAACGUCUGUCUCAUUAUCUUCUGCCCAUUCUAGACGUUAGAGAUAUUUCAGUGAGCGAAAACUUUGAUCUCAUUGGGGUCGACGCUCUGGAGAGCUGGUGGAACAACAUACGGGUGAGACGACUUUUCCAUCACCUAGAGUGAGAAACCACCUCUCAGCCCGCCUACGGCCUCUCGUAGGGUCUCUCCUGCCAAUGGUGUACUUUCCAUUUGAUUAAAAACCGCCCGCUUUUAUGCGUUCGGUUCAGCUCCCUUUGAUCUAAAGAGCAGCACUAAGUCGCUGGGCUCGUCUGACGAGGUUUCACGCUCUUGUAUUAUAUUAUUAUUAUUUUAAAUUGUAUUUAUGCUUUGGCUUCUCACCACAAACUACCCUCCUUCUCCCCCCGUCACGAGGCCUCCGAGCGCCGACUGCUCCCAAAACAGAAGCAAGUGUUUUCUUUGCGUGUUUUCACCGUCCGUCAUUUUCAUACCGUCUAAAGCAAGCGGCCAAAUCAAUGCCUUCACAGACAAAGGAGCAGGCCGCUUUAGGUUGUUGUUUUUCCCUUUGACAUGUUCAACGCGUGUCCUUUAAGUGGUGUGAAGGAGUAAAACCUUUUGACGCCACAUUCAAGACGCUGCAACGAAAGGAACCAUCCAAGCGCGACGACGGUCAGCGGGCUCGACCCACAGAACCUUCUCAUGUACGUAAAAUUCACCCUUCUGGGUUUUUCGCGUCGCGCUGAAAACACGCAGUAAGAGCCGCUGCGUGGGAUCCAUCAGACCCGACGGGAGGCGACACUCG
Molecule: long non-coding RNA, 2327 nt
Organism: Gasterosteus aculeatus aculeatus (three-spined stickleback)
Lineage: Eukaryota; Metazoa; Chordata; Actinopteri; Perciformes; Gasterosteidae
Source: Ensembl